AUUGAACGCUGGCGGCAGGCCUAACACAUGCAAGUCGAACGCGUCGCGGCCGGGUGAGUAAUGUCUGGGAAACUCCCUGAUGGAGGGGGAUCACUACUGGAAACGGUCGCUAAUACCGCAUACCAUCGGAUGUGCCCAUAUGGGAUUCGCUAGUAGGGGGGGUAAAGGCUCACCUAGGCGACGAUCCCUAGCUGGUCUGAGAGGAUGACCAGCCACACUGGGACUGAGACACGGUCCAGACUCCUACGGGAGGCAGCAGUGGGGAAUAUUGCACAAUGGGCGCAAGCCUGAUGCAGCCAUGCCGCGGGUAUGAAGAAGGCCUUCUGGUUGUAAAGUACUUUCAGCGGGGAGGCGUUACCCGCAGAAGAAGCACCGGCUAACUCCGUGCCAGCAGCCGCGGUAAUAC
RNAcentral lists this ribosomal RNA (406 nucleotides) under uncultured bacterium. RNAcentral describes it as "partial 16S ribosomal RNA". It matches the Rfam family "Bacterial small subunit ribosomal RNA", at positions 30 to 526 of the family's 1533-position model. The record is from RNAcentral.